This 253-nucleotide ribosomal RNA is filed under the name uncultured bacterium. RNAcentral describes it as "partial 16S ribosomal RNA". It matches the Rfam family "Bacterial small subunit ribosomal RNA", at positions 524 to 776 of the family's 1533-position model. The record is from RNAcentral.
UACGUAGGGUGCAAGCGUUGUCCGGAAUUAUUGGGCGUAAAGAGCUCGUAGGCGGCUAGUCGCGUCGGCUGUGAAAACCUGGGGCUCAACCCCGGGCCUGCAGACGAUACGGGCUAGCUAGAAUUCGGUAGGGGAGACUGGAAUUCCUGGUGUAGCGGUGGAAUGCGCAGAUAUCAGGAGGAACACCGGUGGCGAAGGCGGGUCUCUGGGCCGUUACUGACGCUGAGGAGCGAAAGCGUGGGGAGCGAACAGG